AGCAGCCGCGGUAAUUCCAGCUCCAAUAGCGUAUAUUAAAGUUGUUGCAGUUAAAAAGCUCGUAGUUGAAUUUUGGGUUUGGCCAAUUGGUCCGUUCUUGUAACGAGUACUGGUUGGUUGGGCCUCACCGCCUGGUGAUACGUAAUGUCCUUUAUUGGGUGUUGCGAGUAGCCAGGACCUUUACCUUGAAAAAUUAGAGUGUUUAAAGCAGGCUUAUGCCGGAAUACAUUAGCAUGGAAUAAUAGAAUAGGACGAUGAUUCUAUUUUGUUGGUUUCUAGGAGCAUCGUAAUGAUUAAUAGGGAUAGUUGGGGGCAUUAGUAUUCAAUUGUCAGAGGUGAAAUUCUUGGGUUUAUUGAAGACUAACUACUGCGAAAGCAUUUGCCAAGGAUGUUUUCAUUAAUCAAGAACGAAAGUUAGGGGAUCGAAGACGAUCAGAUACCGUCGUAGUCUUAACCAUAAACUAUGCCGACUAGGGAUCGGGCGAUGUUGUUUCAAUGACUCGCUCGGCACCUUAUGGGA
This 520-nucleotide unclassified non-coding RNA is filed under the name uncultured Archaeospora. RNAcentral describes it as "SSU rRNA". It matches the Rfam family "Eukaryotic small subunit ribosomal RNA", at positions 569 to 1095 of the family's 1831-position model. The record is from RNAcentral. Lineage: Eukaryota; Fungi; Glomeromycota; Glomeromycetes; Archaeosporales; Archaeosporaceae.